This is a small nuclear RNA of Zalophus californianus (California sea lion), 165 nucleotides long. Its record names the gene U1. It matches the Rfam family "U1 spliceosomal RNA". From Rfam's summary of the family: U1 is a small nuclear RNA (snRNA) component of the spliceosome (involved in pre-mRNA splicing). Its 5' end forms complementary base pairs with the 5' splice junction, thus defining the 5' donor site of an intron. The record is from Ensembl. NCBI's taxonomy places the organism in Eukaryota, Metazoa, Chordata, Mammalia, Carnivora, Otariidae.
AUAUUUACAUGGACAGGGGAGUUACCGUGAUCAGGAAAGUGGUUUUCCCAGGGCGAGGCUCAUCCAUUGCACUCUGAAUGUGUUGACCUCUGUGAUUUCCCCAAACGUAAGAAACUUGACCAAGUGAUUUGUGGUAGCAGGAGACUGCAAUCACACUUCCCCCUG